AUGGCCCGGAACAACUUAUUUCCCCUCCUUUCCAAGAGGGUGUUUGAAGGGGCUUCCUCCCUCCACGGACCCCACGCCGCGCGGCGGGCGCACAGCCAGGCGGCGUCCCGCGCGCGGUCCCCACCCCGCGCCCCCAGCCAGCCCAGCGCACCGCACCGGGAGAGGGACAAAGAGUUGGCCAAGUUUGGGCUCCAAGGCGCAGCCAGGCGCGGGGAAGGGAGGACCCGGGGCAGACACCUGGGGUGCUCAAGAGCUGCACCUCUGUGUAGCACUUUGCGCAGAGGGAAGAGACAGAGCGAGGGAACGAGGAAAGAGGAGGAAAAAAAGAAAGAAAAAAAAAAAGAAAAAUUAAAAAGCGCCAGGCAGAAGAGGCGGCGAGAAGCAUGAAGUGUUAAGUCCCCGGUGCCAAGGCCCGCGCCGCCCGGACAGCGCCCGCCGCGCGCCCCGCCCGCCCGAGCUCUCC
RNAcentral lists this long non-coding RNA (463 nucleotides) under Chinchilla lanigera (long-tailed chinchilla). RNAcentral describes it as "lncRNA (ENSCLAG00000029184.1)". Lineage: Eukaryota; Metazoa; Chordata; Mammalia; Rodentia; Chinchillidae. The record is from RNAcentral.